ACCCAAAGAAAGUUAAUUAAUCUAGCUCAGUUGGUAGAGCAUGAGAUUCUUAAUCUCAGGUUUGUUGGUUAGAGCCCCACCUUGGGCA
Podarcis lilfordi (Lilford's wall lizard) is the source of this 88-nucleotide non-coding RNA. Lineage: Eukaryota; Metazoa; Chordata; Lepidosauria; Squamata; Lacertidae. The record is from the annotation of a GenBank genome assembly.